RNAcentral lists this ribosomal RNA (851 nucleotides) under Nigrospora sphaerica. RNAcentral describes it as "eukaryotic LSU rRNA". It matches the Rfam family "Eukaryotic large subunit ribosomal RNA", at positions 67 to 945 of the family's 3401-position model. The record is from RNAcentral. Lineage: Eukaryota; Fungi; Ascomycota; Sordariomycetes; Amphisphaeriales; Apiosporaceae.
AACAGGGAUUCCCCUAGUAACGGCGAGUGAAGCGGGAACAGCUCAAAUUUGAAAUCUGGCCCUCGGGUCCGAGUUGUAAUUUGUAGAGGAUGCUUUUGGUGCGGUGCCUUCCGAGUUCCCUGGAACGGGACGCCUUAGAGGGUGAGAGCCCCGUACGGUUGGACGCCUAGCCUCUGUAAAGCUCCUUCGACGAGUCGAGUAGUUUGGGAAUGCUGCUCUAAAUGGGAGGUAUAUUUCUUCUAAAGCUAAAUACUGGCCAGAGACCGAUAGCGCACAAGUAGAGUGAUCGAAAGAUGAAAAGCACUUUGAAAAGAGGGUUAAAUAGCACGUGAAAUUGUUGAAAGGGAAGCGUUUAUCACCAGACUUUUUCUAGGGGGAUCAUCCGGUGUUCUCACCGGUGCACUUCCCCUGGUUGAGGCCAGCAUCGGUUUUCGGAGGGGGAUAAAAGCUUCGGGAAUGUGACUCCCUCGGGAGUGUUAUAGCCCGUUGCAUAAUACCCUUCUGGGGACCGAGGUUCGCGCAUCUGCAAGGAUGCUGGCAUAAUGGUGAUCAACGACCCGUCUUGAAACACGGACCAAGGAGUCGAACAUUUAUGCGAGUGUUUGGGUGUCAAACCCUCACGCGUAAUGAAAGUGAACGGAGGUGAGAGCCCUUACGGGUGCAUCAUCGACCGAUCCUGAUGUCUUCGGAUGGAUUUGAGUAAGAGCAUAACUGUUCGGACCCGAAAGAUGGUGAACUAUGCGUGGAUAGGGUGAAGCCAGGAGAAAUCCUGGUGGAGGCUCGCAGCGGUUCUGACGUGCAAAUCGAUCGUCAAAUCUGCGCAUGGGGGCGAAAGACUAAUCGAACCAUCU